Ailuropoda melanoleuca (giant panda) is the source of this 73-nucleotide non-coding RNA. The record is from Rfam. Lineage: Eukaryota; Metazoa; Chordata; Mammalia; Carnivora; Ursidae.
GCCCGGCAGGCUCAGCUGGUAGAACAUGUGACUCUUGAUCUCGGGGUCAUGAGUUCAAGUCCCAUGUUGGGUG